RNAcentral lists this ribosomal RNA (427 nucleotides) under Gulella lornae major. RNAcentral's name for it is "partial 16S ribosomal RNA". It matches the Rfam family "Archaeal large subunit ribosomal RNA", at positions 1919 to 2666 of the family's 2987-position model. The record is from RNAcentral. Lineage: Eukaryota; Metazoa; Mollusca; Gastropoda; Stylommatophora; Streptaxidae.
AAUCUUAUGUUGGUAUAUAAGACGAUUUCUGCCCAAUGAUUUUUUAAUGGCCGCAGUACCCUGACUGUGCUAAGGUAGCAUAAUAAAUUGGCUUUUAAAUGAGGUCUAGAAUGAAAGAACAUUUGAAUAUUGAUUGUCUUUUUUUUGUUAAGUUGAAUUUAAUUUAAUAGGUGAAAAGACCUAUCAGGGAAAGAAAGACGAGAAGACCCUUAGAAUUUUAAAUAAAAAACUAUUCAUUGUCUUUUUUUGUUGGGGUGACAUAUUAACAUUUUAAACUUUUUUAGCUACAUGUCAAAUAUUUAGGGACGAAAAAAUUACCUUAGGGAUAACAGCAUAAUUUUUAUCAAAGAUUGUGACCUCGAUGUUGGACUAGGGACCUAAUAAUUAGUAAUUAAGUUGGUUAGUUCUGUUCGAACUUUUUACCCCU